CACGUAGGGAGCAAGCGUUGUCCGGAUUUAUUGGGCGUAAAGAGCUCGUAGGCUGUUCGAUAAGUCGGGUGUGAAACCUCCAGGCUCAACCUGGAGACGCCACCCGAUACUGUCAUGACUAGAGUCCGGUAGGGGAGCGUGGAAUUCCUGGUGUAGCGGUGAAAUGCGCAGAUAUCAGGAAGAACACCAAUGGCGAAAGCAGCUUUCUGGGACGGUACUGACGCUGAGACGCGAAAGCGUGGGGAGCGAACAGG
RNAcentral lists this ribosomal RNA (254 nucleotides) under uncultured bacterium. RNAcentral describes it as "partial 16S ribosomal RNA". It matches the Rfam family "Bacterial small subunit ribosomal RNA", at positions 524 to 776 of the family's 1533-position model. The record is from RNAcentral.